RNAcentral lists this long non-coding RNA (1648 nucleotides) under Mytilus galloprovincialis (Mediterranean mussel). The record is from RNAcentral. Lineage: Eukaryota; Metazoa; Mollusca; Bivalvia; Mytilida; Mytilidae.
GUUUUAUAAUUCAGAUAUAAUAAAAUAUUAAUAACUGUGUUGAUACUCUGAUAUUUUUUCAUAACAAACAAUCUUAUCCAUGUAUCUAUAAUAUCGAAUUGAAGUUAGGGUCAUACCGUCUGUUAAACUACCCGUAACACUGAUUCCAGUAAUUAUUGAAAUAUGAGUUUUUAUUUGACAAAGGUAAUUGCUAACCUCCAGCCGAUUCAAAUUUGUUCUUGGUCAUUAACUCAGGAUAAUUGACAGUAAUCAAGGAGAAGUAUUGGUUUGUUUCAACAAUUCUAGACUGACUUAUAUUGAGGGUAGUACAGUUCAUUUGGAAGAAAAAAAUAUUUCAAUGCCCUUUGAUUGAUCUUUGAACUGGAGAAGGAAUCAUUUGAUUUCUUACUUUCUUACAAUUUUUGUUUCGGUGGUUUUGAUUUCCGUGACGAGAACACGCAACAUUGUAUAUAAUACUUUUACUGUGUUUUUCUUUCUUUAGAAGUCAUUAUGGAAGGUCCAACUCUUAUAAUAGUAACAAAAACAUAUUAAACCAAAAAAAAAAAAAACAAAAAAAAAAACCAUUUUAAUACAGGAUAAACAAAAAAUGCUUUAUUCAUUUAUGGUUACCUCAUGAGAUUGACUCAUAAACCCUGUGAUCAGGCCUGUUCUUAAUGACUACUCACUUAUAUAAUAUACAUGAAGGAAAAAAGUAAAAUAACAAAACUACCGUCCGUCAUGGAAAAUUCGAAGCGGAAAAAAAUGCAACAGUAGUAUACCACUGUUCAGGUCUCUUAACAAAUGGCAAAAUCAAAAGCUCAAACACAUCAAACGAAUUAAUUAUAUCAACAAACUUAUGCAAAAUUGCUAGGAGAAUAAAAGCAGGAUAAACGAGGUUUGCAUGUAAAUAGUACAUUUUCAACAGAUAUAUCAUGUUAAGGAGGGUUGCGAGAAAAAAAAACAGUCGAAAGAAUGUUAAAUUUCGCGAGCCGUAAGGCGAGGGAAAUUCAUUCUCAAGACUGGUAUUUUUUGCAAAUACCCCUCAAGAACAUGCAAUAUAUGUUUAAUUAUACCGAAUGUUAUCGUUCAAAAACGCAUUGAUGAUCGUGACGUUACAAGCGUCCAGCCGGAUAGAGUAUUUUUGGCAAAUACCACGACAGAGAGAGUGAAAUAGGCAUAUACUUUUUGCAUAUACCCCGGCGGCGUGAAAAAAUGAACAGUAAAUUGGUGAAAAAUACACUGGCUAUCAACCAAUUAAAACCCAGGAUUCUUAUAUAUGGUGUAAUUAAAGUAAAAACACUACCAGCGAGCGUUAUGAAAAAAAUAAGGGUCUGCCUUCUUUAUCCCUUAAGUAGUCAUUCUUAAAAUGAUAACUAAGCGAACUUACUUAAAACCAAAUUUUUUUUAUCAACAUUUUAUAGAUUGGUCUUUGGCAUUCCAGUUGAUCAUGAAACGAUUUCAACCGACCAAAGGUUUAAGUCAUCUUUGCAAGCUAUUAAAACAACAUAAUAACUGUCUUAUGAAGUUUAAUUUCGAAAUAUGCAAUUCCCACACUAGAUCUGUUUGAAUCAAUCUCUACUUUUGUGUUGUAAUCAUUUGAGUUUUUCUGCGAUUGCUUCCUGGGUCGAUGUCACUGCUGGUGGCGUGUUUAUAUCCGAGGGUAUCACCA